This 253-nucleotide ribosomal RNA is filed under the name uncultured bacterium. Its description in RNAcentral is "partial 16S ribosomal RNA". It matches the Rfam family "Bacterial small subunit ribosomal RNA", at positions 524 to 776 of the family's 1533-position model. The record is from RNAcentral.
UACGAAGGGGACUAGCGUUGUUCGGAUUUACUGGGCGUAAAGCGCGCGUAGGCGGAUCGCUAAGUCAGGGGUGAAAUCCCAGGGCUCAACCCUGGAACUGCCUUUGAUACUGACGAUCUGGAGAUCGGGAGAGGUUGGUGGAAUUCCGAGUGUAGAGGUGAAAUUCGUAGAUAUUCGUAAGAACACCAGUGGCGAAGGCGACUUUCUGGCUCGAUACUGACGCUAAGGCGCGAAAGCGUGGGGAGCAAACAGG